This 719-nucleotide ribosomal RNA is filed under the name Bacillus subtilis. RNAcentral describes it as "bacterial SSU rRNA". It matches the Rfam family "Bacterial small subunit ribosomal RNA", at positions 57 to 758 of the family's 1533-position model. The record is from RNAcentral. Lineage: Bacteria; Bacillati; Bacillota; Bacilli; Caryophanales; Bacillaceae.
GCAAGUCGAGCGGACAGAUGGGAGCUUGCUCCCUGAUGUUAGCGGCGGACGGGUGAGUAACACGUGGGUAACCUGCCUGUAAGACUGGGAUAACUCCGGGAAACCGGGGCUAAUACCGGAUGCUUGUUUGAACCGCAUGGUUCAAACAUAAAAGGUGGCUUCGGCUACCACUUACAGAUGGACCCGCGGCGCAUUAGCUAGUUGGUGAGGUAACGGCUCACCAAGGCAACGAUGCGUAGCCGACCUGAGAGGGUGAUCGGCCACACUGGGACUGAGACACGGCCCAGACUCCUACGGGAGGCAGCAGUAGGGAAUCUUCCGCAAUGGACGAAAGUCUGACGGAGCAACGCCGCGUGAGUGAUGAAGGUUUUCGGAUCGUAAAGCUCUGUUGUUAGGGAAGAACAAGUACCGUUCGAAUAGGGCGGUACCUUGACGGUACCUAACCAGAAAGCCACGGCUAACUACGUGCCAGCAGCCGCGGUAAUACGUAGGUGGCAAGCGUUGUCCGGAAUUAUUGGGCGUAAAGGGCUCGCAGGCGGUUUCUUAAGUCUGAUGUGAAAGCCCCCGGCUCAACCGGGGAGGGUCAUUGGAAACUGGGGAACUUGAGUGCAGAAGAGGAGAGUGGAAUUCCACGUGUAGCGGUGAAAUGCGUAGAGAUGUGGAGGAACACCAGUGGCGAAGGCGACUCUCUGGUCUGUAACUGACGCUGAGGAGCGAAA